RNAcentral lists this ribosomal RNA (496 nucleotides) under uncultured bacterium. RNAcentral describes it as "partial 16S ribosomal RNA". It matches the Rfam family "Bacterial small subunit ribosomal RNA", at positions 29 to 507 of the family's 1533-position model. The record is from RNAcentral.
AUGAACGCUGGCGGCGUGCCUAAUACAUGCAAGUCGAGCGAACAGACGAGGAGCUUGCUCCUCUGACGUUAGCGGCGGACGGGUGAGUAACACGUGGAUAACCUACCUAUAAGACUGGGAUAACUUCGGGAAACCGGAGCUAAUACCGGAUAAUAUAUUGAACCGCAUGGUUCAAUAGUGAAAGACGGUUUUGCUGUCACUUAUAGAUGGAUCCGCGCCGCAUUAGCUAGUUGGUAAGGUAACGGCUUACCAAGGCAACGAUGCGUAGCCGACCUGAGAGGGUGAUCGGCCACACUGGAACUGAGACACGGUCCAGACUCCUACGGGAGGCAGCAGUAGGGAAUCUUCCGCAAUGGGCGAAAGCUUGACGGAGCAACGCCGCGUGAGUGAUGAAGGUCUUCGGAUCGUAAAACUCUGUUAUUAGGGAAGAACAAAUGUGUAAGUAACAAUGCACGUCUUGACGGUACCUAAUCAGAAAGCCACGGCUAACUACGUG